GACGAACGCUGGCGGCGUGCUUAACACAUGCAAGUCGAACGGAAAGGCCCUGCUUGCGGGGUACUCGAGUGGCGAACGGGUGAGUAACACGUGGGUGAUCUGCCCUGCACUUCGGGAUAAGCCUGGUAAACUGGGUCUAAUACCGGAUAGGAGCCAUUUUUAGCGUGAUGGUUGGAAAGUUUUUUCGGUGUAGGAUGAGCUCGCGGCCUAUCAGCUUGUUGGAGGGGUAAUGGCCUACCAAGGCGGCUACGGGUAGCCGGCCUGAGAGGGUGGACGGCGACAUUGGGACUGGGGUACGGCCCAGACUCCUACGGGAGGCAGCAGUGGGGAAUAUUGCACAAUGGGCGCAAGCCUGAUGCAGCGACGCCGCGUGGGGGAUGACGGCCUUCGGGUUGUAAACUCCUUUCGCUAGGGACGAAGCUUUUUGUGACGGUACCUAGAUAAGAAGCACCGGCUAACUACGUG
This 465-nucleotide ribosomal RNA is filed under the name uncultured bacterium. Its description in RNAcentral is "partial 16S ribosomal RNA". It matches the Rfam family "Bacterial small subunit ribosomal RNA", at positions 28 to 507 of the family's 1533-position model. The record is from RNAcentral.